GAUGAACGCUAGCUACAGGCUUAACACAUGCAAGUCGAGGGACCGGCGCACGGGUGAGUAAGACGUAUCCAACCUGCCCUUUACUCGGGGAUAGCCUUUCGAAAUAAAGAUUAAUACCCGAUAUACUGGAUGGGGAUGCGUUCCGUUAGGUUGUUGUUGAGGUAACUGCUAACCAAGCCUUCGAUGGAUAGGGGUUCUGAGAGGAAGGGGCGCACGAUUGGAACUGAGACACGAUCCAAACUCGUACAGGAGGCGGCAGUGAGGAAUAUUGGGCAAUGAGCGCUGACCUGAGCCAGCCAAGUAAAGUGAAGAAGGAAGGCUUAGGGGUCGUAAACUUCUUUUAUAUAAGAAUAUGUAUUAUAUGAAUAAGGAUCGGCUAACUCCGUGCCAGCCGCCGCGGUAAUAC
Molecule: ribosomal RNA, 406 nt
Filed under: uncultured bacterium
Lineage: Bacteria
Description: partial 16S ribosomal RNA
Rfam family: Bacterial small subunit ribosomal RNA
Source: RNAcentral